RNAcentral lists this ribosomal RNA (421 nucleotides) under uncultured bacterium. RNAcentral describes it as "bacterial SSU rRNA". It matches the Rfam family "Bacterial small subunit ribosomal RNA", at positions 355 to 773 of the family's 1533-position model. The record is from RNAcentral.
UGAGGAAUAUUGGGCAAUGCCCGCAAGGGUGACCCAGCAACGCCGCGUGGAGGAUGAAUGUCGUAAGAUUGUAAACUCCUGUUAGAGGGGAAGAAUAGUACCGGUUGGACCGGUAUAUGACUGUACCCUCAGAGAAAGCCCCGGCUAACUACGUGCCAGCAGGCGCGGUAAUACGUAGGGGGCAAGCGUUGUCCGGAUUUACUGGGUGUAAAGGGCGCGCAGGCGGGAUAAAAAGUCAGUGGUGAAAUCCUACAGCUUAACUGUAGAACUGCCUUUGAUACUUUUAUUCUUGAGUUCGGGAGAGAGAGACGGAAUUCCAGGUGUAGUGGUGAAAUACGUAGAUAUCUGGAAGAACACCAGUUGCGAAGGCGGUCUCUUGGUCCGACACUGACGCUGAGGCGCGAAAGCGUGGGGAGCAAAC